Molecule: ribosomal RNA, 468 nt
Filed under: uncultured bacterium
Lineage: Bacteria
Description: partial 16S ribosomal RNA
Rfam family: Bacterial small subunit ribosomal RNA
Source: RNAcentral
GACGAACGCUGGCGGCGUGCUUAACACAUGCAAGUCGAACGGAAAGGCCUGUCCUUUGUGGUGUUCUCGGGUGACUCACGUGUCAGAAACACGUGAGUCACCUGCCCUUUCCUUUGGCAUAAUUUCUGUAACCUUGGGCUAAUACCGCUUAUUAGCUCUUGCUCCACGGUGGGGUUUGGACAGUUUCGGCGGUUGGGGUUGUACUCGCGGCUUAUCAGAUUGUUGGUGGGGUAGUGGCUUAGGAAGGCGUCGACGGGUAGCCGGCCUGAGAGGGUGACCGGCGACAUGGGGAAGGAGACUCGGCCCAGACGCAUACGGGAAGCAGCAGUGGGGGAUAUUGCACAAUGGGAGGAAGCCUGAGGCAGCAACGCCGCGUGCGGGAUGACGGCCUUCGGGUGGCAAACAGGUAGCGCCUGGGAUGAAGCGUGGGUGACGGUAAUGGGUAAAGAAGCACCGGCUAACUACGUG